RNAcentral lists this ribosomal RNA (232 nucleotides) under uncultured bacterium. RNAcentral's name for it is "partial 16S ribosomal RNA". It matches the Rfam family "Bacterial small subunit ribosomal RNA", at positions 118 to 347 of the family's 1533-position model. The record is from RNAcentral.
UGAGCAAUCUGCCCUUCUCAUCGGAAUAAGCGUUGGAAACGACGUCUAAUGCCGAAUACGACCUUCUUUCACAUGAUCGGAGGUGGAAAGCUCCGGCGGAGAAGGAUGAGCUCGCGGCCUAUCAGCUAGUUGGUGUGGGUAAUGGCCCACCAAGGCGACGACGGGUAGCCGGCCUGAGAGGGUGACCGGCCACACUGGGACUGAGACACGGCCCAGACUCCUACGGGAGCAG